Molecule: ribosomal RNA, 462 nt
Filed under: uncultured bacterium
Lineage: Bacteria
Description: bacterial SSU rRNA
Rfam family: Bacterial small subunit ribosomal RNA
Source: RNAcentral
UCCUACGGGUGGCUGCAGUCGAGAAUCUUCGGCAAUGGACGCAAGUCUGACCGAGCGACGCCGCGUGCGGGAUGAAGGCCUUCGGGUUGUAAACCGCUGUCAGUGAGGAGGAAGGCCGUGUGAAGAGCAUGGUUUGACCUAUUCGCAGAGGAAGUGUGGGCUAAGCUCGUGCCAGCAGCCGCGGUAAGACGAGCCACACAAACGUUAUUCGGAAUUACUGGGCUUAAAGGGUGCGUAGGCGGCGCGGAAAGUUGGGUGUGAAAUCCCUCGGCUCAACCGAGGAAUUGCGCUCAAAACUACCGUGCUCGAGGGAGAUAGAGGAGUGCGGAACUUACGGUGGAGCGGUGAAAUGCGUUGAUAUCGUAGGGAACACCGGUGGCGAAAGCGGCACUCUGGAUCUCUUCUGACGCUGAUGCACGAAAGCUAGGGUAGCAAACGGGAUUAGAUACCCUGGUAGUCCAA